UCUCCGUUGGUGAACCAGCGGAGGGAUCAUUACCGAGUUUUCCAACUCCCAAACCCUUCUGUGAACCUAUACCGACACGUUGCUUCGUCGGGAUCGCCCCGGCGCCCUCAGCGGCGGCCGGGCCCAGGCGCCCGCCGGACGACCACACCAAACUCUUCAGAUUUUCUUCAGGCGUCUUUUGAGUUACACAAAAAAAAUGAAUCAAAACUUUCAACAACGGAUCUCUUGGUUCUG
This 234-nucleotide unclassified non-coding RNA is filed under the name plant metagenome. Its description in RNAcentral is "partial contains small subunit ribosomal RNA, internal transcribed spacer 1, and 5.8S ribosomal RNA". The record is from RNAcentral.